AAGUCGUAACAAGGUCUCCGUUGGUGAACCAGCGGAGGGAUCAUUAGCGAGUUGCAAAACUCCCAAACCAUCGCGAACAUACCCAUGGUUGCCUCGCCGCUGGCGGCCCCUCGCGGGCCCCCGCGGCGGCGGCCCACCGAACUCUUGCAGUAUUAGGCCUCUCUGAGUACUACUUAUAACAAGUCAAAACUUUCAACAACGGAUCUCUUGGUUCUG
RNAcentral lists this unclassified non-coding RNA (216 nucleotides) under fungal sp. RNAcentral describes it as "partial internal transcribed spacer region". The stretch from base 1 to 46 matches the Rfam family "Eukaryotic small subunit ribosomal RNA", at positions 1786 to 1831 of the family's 1831-position model. RNAcentral also lists the same sequence under 1 other name. The record is from RNAcentral. Lineage: Eukaryota; Fungi.